RNAcentral lists this ribosomal RNA (449 nucleotides) under uncultured bacterium. RNAcentral describes it as "partial 16S ribosomal RNA". It matches the Rfam family "Bacterial small subunit ribosomal RNA", at positions 29 to 523 of the family's 1533-position model. The record is from RNAcentral.
AGCGAACGCUGGCGGCAGGCCUAACACAUGCAAGCCGAGCGCCGUAGCAAUACGGAGCGGCAGACGGGAGAGUAACACGUGGGAACGUACCCUUUGGUUCGGAACAACCCAGGGAAACUUGGGCUAAUACCGGAUAAGCCCUCACGGGGGAAGAUUCAUCGCCGAAGGAUCGGCCCGCGUCUGAUUAGCUAGUUGGUGGGGUAAUGGCCCACCAAGGCGACGAUCAGUAGCUGGUCUGAGAGGAUGAUCAGCCUCACUGGGACUGAGACACGGCCCAGACUCCUACGGGAGGCAGCAGUGGGGAAUAUUGGACAAUGGGCGCAAGCCUGAUCCAGCCAUGCCGCGUGGGUGAUGAAGGCCCUAGGGUUGUAAAGCCCUUUCGGCGGGGAAGAUAAUGACGGUACCCGCAGAAGAAGCCCCGGCUAACUUCGUGCCAGCCGCCGCCGUAA